RNAcentral lists this long non-coding RNA (207 nucleotides) under Phoenix dactylifera (date palm). RNAcentral's name for it is "long non-coding RNA (PDAC_LNC008834)". Lineage: Eukaryota; Viridiplantae; Streptophyta; Magnoliopsida; Arecales; Arecaceae. The record is from RNAcentral.
CCCGACUCAAUGUACCAAUGACUGGGAAUAUUUAAGAUUAGGAUUUUAGGAUUUUAAGUCUCACUAGUAUGAUCUCAUCAUAGUCUUAAAACCAUUGCCCUAAACUAAGGAGUUUAUCAUAAAUAUAAUCAACAGCAUAUGAUAAAACAUAACGCCUUUAUUCAUAUUUAAAUAUCAUGUACAUGAUUUGGACAAAUCAAAAGAAAA